UGCUCGAGUGGCGAACGGGUGAGUAACACGUGAGUAACCUGCCCUUGACUUUGGGAUAACUUCAGGAAACUGGGGCUAAUACCGGAUAGGAGCUCCUGCUGCAUGGUGGGGGUUGGAAAGUUUCGGCGGUUGGGGAUGGACUCGCGGCUUAUCAGCUUGUUGGUGGGGUAGUGGCUUACCAAGGCUUUGACGGGUAGCCGGCCUGAGAGGGCGACCGGCCACAUUGGGACUGAGAUACGGCCCAG
Molecule: ribosomal RNA, 245 nt
Filed under: uncultured bacterium
Lineage: Bacteria
Also listed under: 1 other name
Description: partial 16S ribosomal RNA
Rfam family: Bacterial small subunit ribosomal RNA
Source: RNAcentral